AUUUCUUUGUAGCAAUACUAAGGGAUGAUAGUGGCGGAAGGGCGAGUAAUGCGAGAGCAAGCUACCCCUCGAACUGGGACAACGUUUGGAAACGAACGCUAAUACCGGAUACGAAGCGCGGUCGAAUGGCCGUGUCUUGAAAGGUGGGGACCCGCAAGGGCCUGCCGUCGAAGGAGGCGCUCCCGUGCCAUCAGCUAGUUGGUGAGGUAAUGGCUCACCAAGGCUUACGGCUAGGUGGACUGAGAGGUCGGUCACCCGCACUGGGACUGAGACACUGCCCAGACUCCUACGGGAGGCUGCAGUCGAGGAUCAUUCGCAAUGGGCGAAAGCCUGACGAUGCGACGCUGCGUGUAGGAUGAAGGCCUUCGGGUCGUAAACUACUGUCAUGUGGGGCAAGGGAGCCGGUACUAAUAGUGCCUGGCUUUUGAUGGUACCACAAGAGGAAGCCACGGCUAACUCUGUGCCAGCAGCCGCGGUAAUACAGAGGUGGCGAGCGUUGUUCGGAUUUACUGGGCGUAAAGCGUGCGUAGGCGGUCGCGUAUGUCGGAUGUGAAAUCCCGGGGCUCACCCCCGGAAGUGCAUCCGAAACUGCGUGGCUAGAGGCCGGGAAGGGUGACUGGAACACAUGGUGUAGCGGUGAAAUGCGUUGAUAUCAUGUGGAACACCGGAGGCGAAGGCGAGUCACUGGAACGGAUCUGACGCUAAGGCACGAAAGCGUGGGGAGCAAACAGGAUUAGAUACCCUGGUAGUCCACGCUGUAAACGGUGCACAUUUGCCGUAGGGGGAAUUGACCCCCCCUGUGGCGU
This 806-nucleotide ribosomal RNA is filed under the name uncultured bacterium. RNAcentral's name for it is "bacterial SSU rRNA". It matches the Rfam family "Bacterial small subunit ribosomal RNA", at positions 68 to 849 of the family's 1533-position model. The record is from RNAcentral.